AAAUUAGUACAAAAAAACAAAAGAAAAUUUUUAAGUAAAAUUAGGUAAGCUUAAAUUGUCUAGCUAGCACAGUCGGUAAGAAAAAACUAAAAACAAAACUGAUACAAAAGUUUAGGAACACACCAGAUGUAAAUAAGUAUAUGAUAUCCUCUGCAUCGCACUUUCCCACUUUGAAUCUGUCUCUGUAUACUUUUGUAGAAAUGUCUGUCACUAUAGCGGUGGUUAGAAUAUCCAUUUUUUUAUAAUUUAAAUUGAAAGUUUCAAAGAAGAAAUGGCUAUCAAAAGUGAAAAGCCUCAAGGCCAUGGAAUCUUUUAUUGUUAAGAUGCGAGAAGAACUUAAUUU
This 343-nucleotide unclassified non-coding RNA is filed under the name Hevea brasiliensis (rubber tree). Lineage: Eukaryota; Viridiplantae; Streptophyta; Magnoliopsida; Malpighiales; Euphorbiaceae. The record is from RNAcentral.